UAAUCUCAUCCGAAUCUGUUGCA
RNAcentral lists this microRNA (23 nucleotides) under Haemonchus contortus (barber pole worm). RNAcentral describes it as "hco-miR-259". Its record names the gene hco-miR-259. Lineage: Eukaryota; Metazoa; Nematoda; Chromadorea; Rhabditida; Trichostrongylidae. The record is from miRBase by way of RNAcentral.